This is a long non-coding RNA of Mya arenaria, 3111 nucleotides long. RefSeq lists it as uncharacterized. The transcript is spliced from 3 exons. NCBI's taxonomy places the organism in Eukaryota, Metazoa, Mollusca, Bivalvia, Myida, Myidae. The record is from RefSeq and is a predicted model, not a curated record.
UAGAUCUAUGGUAAUGCAAUUAGUAGCUCAAAAUUUUAAUCCUUCAAUUGUUAUUUUAAAAACUGUUUUACCUACUUAAUGAUAAAGGAAAAUUAUUCAUUUUAUUAAACAGAUGUACACAAGAAGGAGAUAAACAGAAACACAGAGGUGCUAUACUUUCUAAUGGAAAAGACAACAAAAGCAUCUCCCAUCAUUUUGGCGUGGCUCAGAUCAAGAGGAGAAAUUUAAAAAAGGUGAUGGUUGGGCACAAACAAGAAGACAUAGAUCACAGGCGUAUAGCAUAUGAGUAGACAGGAGUUUCACACUCUGCCAGACUUACUUCCUCAGACGAGCAGAUUUAGGCUUCUCAAGAUCACGCACUGCACACUAAGACAUAGUCUUUGACUACAACAAGGCCUUAGGGGAUGAAAGUACAGAGAGGUCCAAUUGAAAUCAAUUCUGUGCUGCGUCAUUUCUUUAUUCUAGAGGUUGAUGGACAUGAUUUAUGGCAUCAAGUGUGCAGUUUGUCAACUAACUAUCAACACAGCAGUCUUGUUCACCAGCUGCUCAACUUGAGCUUUUAGCUUUAUUGCUUGAAGCCACUGUAUAAGAGGAGGGAAGGUGCAGACUCAUCAAAAAGUCUCAAGGUUGAAACUAGGAAGAGAAGUUUGUCAAGAGUGUGAAUAUUUGCUUUGAAAACAAUUGUUACAAUGAUUUGGUUUCCUUUGAAACUUGAUACAUACUAUGUGUAUGUUGAAUGAAUUGAGAUGCUUAAAUAAAGAACCACUAUUCAAAUAUCAGGAAACUGCAUUUUUCAUACUAAAUUGGUAAAUGAUGUCACCAUUUCCUGUAUGUAUUUAGAUAAGAUAUGUUUCCACAAUUAAUAUUUUUAGGGACUAUUUCUCAACGUAAUGAAAUAGAUUAAGCGUUAUAUGAGCUUAAUAUGUGUUUUCUGUUUCCUUAAAAUUGAUGAAAAAUUGUCAGAAGGUAAUGAGACCAGUAUCCAUUACUGCAAUCAUACAAUAAAAAAUACAGGGACAAGCCCACUGCUCAUAUAAUAUGAUUAAACCUUGUUUAGGGGCAUGAGGCAAACCGAGUUACUUUCAAAUGUUAAAGAUGCACUCUCACACUUUGGAUGUUUUGACAACUGUUUUCAUUUUUAGCUCUACUGGCCAAAGGCCAGAAGAGCUUAUGCGAUGGUAAUGUGUACGUAGUAUGUGCGUCUGUAACCAAUCCUCGUUUACAUGAUACAGCCUACAGUUCCUUUCGAAAACCAGCCAGAUCCGCCCAUGUAUGCCUAGUUUAUGGGCCUUGAUAGUAUACAAAAAUCAGUGUGUCAGUAGGCAAUUGCUCGUUAACAUGAUACAGCCUUUUUGAUUGUAUCUCAAUGAAACUUGUACAGUAUCUACAUAUCCAUAUGAGCUCGGUUCCUUUCGAAAACCAGCCAGAUCCGCCCAUGCAUGCCAAGAUUAUGGGCCUUGAUAAUAAAAAAAAAUAGUGUGUCAGUAAACAAUUGCUCGGUAACACGAUACAGUCUUCAGUUUUGAUUGUAUCUUGAUGAAACUUGUCCAGUAUAUCCAUUAGAGCUCAGUUCCUUUCAAAAACCUGAUCUGCCCAUGUUUCCUGGAUUAUUGGCCUUGAAAUUAUUAGAUGAUGGCCUUGAUAGUAUAAAAAAUGCUAUUUUGUAAUAAAUGCUUGCGAAUAUGAUACAGUCUUCAGUUUUGAGUAUUCAGAUACCCAUAAGGGGUUGGUUCUUUUCGAAAACAGUGAUGUUGACCACACAAACCCAGCCAGUAGAGCAUAGGCCCUUUUGGGCCUCUUGUUUGUUUUGGAUUGGUACCAUCCAGUCUUUGCGAAAAAUGCAUGGAAACCAGUAAUAUAAGACUACUGACAAAAAAUUCAAUUGCAGACUUUUUUAUUUAAGUUAAAACAUUGAUGUUUUAUGCACUUUUCUUAAACCGUUAACAUUAAUCUUCGAAGGAAAUAUGAAAUCUGGGAUUUGAUGUUUUGUCAGCAAUCUUUUACCAUUGGUUUGCUGAUAUUUACGCAAAAAUUUGCUCAUUCCAAGACAAAACAAAAGUUGUUAAAACGGUAUAUCUGUGAGAAUGCAGCUCUAAAUGUUUUGGCAAACAUGUUUUUGAUUUGGCAGCACAAUCAAUCUUGAACAUUGCUUGAUUUUACUGCUGUAUUAGAAAUUACAGGGGUAAUGGGGGAUUUUUUUUAGUGUUUUUAUUGCUUUUUGUGAUUCAUACAGUCAUACUUCAUUCCCCAGGGCACAACUUACAAAUAGACAGAACAGGAAAAUGGUCAUUUUAAAAGGUCAAGGACAAUGCAAGUUGAACAAUCAUAUUGUUCAUGGCUUGUAUUUUUGGUAUAUUUUGUUGCAUAUAUGCUAUAAAAAAGUUGAAAGUUAAAAAUAACUUCAUAGUUGAAAUGAUGGCUUUGAAUGGUUUUGUCAGUUGAGAAACAGCACUAUUAAGAAAUAUGUUAAUGGUACUUUAUUAUUUUAAUCAAUUUUAGAUAUUUGUAUGAAAAUAAUUAUCUUAUUUUGUACAUGAGACCUUUUAAACAGUUAUUUAUAAUUUAACAAUGUGUAAAUGAUCAAAACUUAAAGCUGCACUUUCACAGAUUGUCAUUUUAGACACUUUAAAAAUUUUGUCUCAAAAGCUGAUUUGGUUAUCAUUCCUUUAAUUCAGUCAUAUUAGAUAAUUCACAAUAGAACCAAUCAAAAAUGUUUGGUAAGACUGCCGAAAAGUUCAUUUACAUUAAAUUGUUCGUAAUGCUACUAUACCCAUAAAACAUCAUUUUAGCCAUAAAUAUGACAAAAUGCAAUCUGAUCUUAUUUCAGAAGUCUUAUAUCACUUAAAAUUGGGUCUAUGCAAAAAAUGGUCUAUUUAUAGACCAACAAUAAAAGAGUGCCGGUAGUCAAAACGAUCAAUUAGUGAGAUUGCAGCUUUAAAUACACCUUUUUAAGUCCGCUGUAAAAUUCCAAUGGUUUGCCUCAAUCUUUAAAGCUAGCAUACUGUUUAAUUGACAGCCAUACUUUUUGUUUAAAAGUGUCAUGAUAUGUUUGUACAAUGUGUUUAUAUAAUUCAUUAAAGAAGUCAAAACAAAUUUGUUUAUCUUGUAAUU